This 468-nucleotide ribosomal RNA is filed under the name uncultured bacterium. RNAcentral describes it as "partial 16S ribosomal RNA". It matches the Rfam family "Bacterial small subunit ribosomal RNA", at positions 28 to 507 of the family's 1533-position model. The record is from RNAcentral.
GACGAACGCUGGCGGCGUGCUUAACACAUGCAAGUCGAACGGAAAGGCCCUGCUUUUGUGGGGUGCUCGAGUGGCGAACGGGUGAGUAACACGUUAGUAACCUGCCCUUGACUUUGGGAUAACUUCAGGAAACUGGGGCUAAUACCGGAUAGGAGCUCCUGCUGCAUGGUGGGGGUUGGAAAGUUUCGGCGGUUGGGGAUGGACUCGCGGCUUAUCAGCUUGUUGGUGGGGUAGUGGCUUACCAAGGCUUUGACGGGUAGCCGGCCUGAGAGGGUGACCGGCCACAUUGGGACUGAGAUACGGCCCAGACUCCUACGGGAGGCAGCAGUGGGGAAUAGUGCACAAUGGGCGGAAGCCUGAUGCAGCAACGCCGCGUGCGGGAUGACGGCCUUCGGGUUGUAAACCGCUUUCGCCUGUGACGAAGCGUGAGUGACGGUAAUGGGUAAAGAAGCACCGGCUAACUACGUG